RNAcentral lists this transfer RNA (75 nucleotides) under Alphaproteobacteria bacterium LSUCC0226. RNAcentral's name for it is "tRNA-Val". It matches the Rfam family "tRNA". Rfam says of the family: Transfer RNA (tRNA) molecules are approximately 80 nucleotides in length. Their secondary structure includes four short double-helical elements and three loops (D, anti-codon, and T loops). Further hydrogen bonds mediate the characteristic L-shaped molecular structure. tRNAs have two regions of fundamental functional importance: the anti-codon, which is responsible for specific mRNA codon recognition, and the 3' end, to which the tRNAs corresponding amino acid is attached (by aminoacyl-tRNA synthetases). tRNAs cope with the degeneracy of the genetic code in two manners: having more than one tRNA (with a specific anti-codon) for a particular amino acid; and 'wobble' base-pairing, i.e. permitting non-standard base-pairing at the 3rd anti-codon position. The record is from RNAcentral. Lineage: Bacteria; Pseudomonadati; Pseudomonadota; Alphaproteobacteria. RNAcentral also lists the same sequence under 15 other names.
GGGGGUGUAGCUCAGCGGGAGAGCACUUCGUUGACAUCGAAGGGGUCACAGGUUCAAUCCCUGUCACUCCCACCA